Molecule: ribosomal RNA, 253 nt
Filed under: uncultured bacterium
Lineage: Bacteria
Description: partial 16S ribosomal RNA
Rfam family: Bacterial small subunit ribosomal RNA
Source: RNAcentral
UACGAAGGGGGCUAGCGUUGCUCGGAAUCACUGGGCGUAAAGCGCACGUAGGCGGAUUGUUAAGUCGGGGGUGAAAUCCUGGAGCUCAACUCCAGAACUGCCUUCGAUACUGGCGAUCUUGAGUCCGGGAGAGGUGAGUGGAACUCCGAGUGUAGAGGUGAAAUUCGUAGAUAUUCAGAAGAACACCAGUGGCGAAGGCGGCUCACUGGCCCGGUACUGACGCUGAGGUGCGAAAGCGUGGGGAGCAAACAGG